Myotis davidii is the source of this 715-nucleotide long non-coding RNA. RefSeq lists it as uncharacterized. The record is from RefSeq and is a predicted model, not a curated record. The transcript has 4 exons. Lineage: Eukaryota; Metazoa; Chordata; Mammalia; Chiroptera; Vespertilionidae.
GCCCUGGCUGGGAAUCUAACUGGGACCUCCUGGAAAACUCCAGGACUAAAAAUUCCCGAAUAGAUGAGAACAGCAAGAUAUUUAAACAGCUAGAGAAAGACAACAAACAACAAACAUUACUAACUAUUAAGCAGAAUUUGCAAAUUGCAACAACACUAAGGUUAGAGGAAGAAAUUCGGCAACUUCAGAAACAGCUCAGUGAUUUGAAAUUGUCAAAUAAAAAUAUGAAAACCCAACUGACAAGAGUAAAUGUCCUUAAAGACAAAACAAUUCAGAAGCUCAGGCAAUCUUUAAUAAAAGUUGAAGCAAUGAAAGGGAAGGCAGCUAUGAAAACAGAUAACUUGAAAACUGCAUUAGACCCAACCAAGCAAGAGGCAAGAUGGAACAAAGACGGGACCCAUCAGAUCUUAGAUGCUAUCACUCCUGAGCUCUGCACAGCAAAGAACACACUUGAAGAAGUGUCAGGACGACCACAAGAGGAAGUCGACUUUCGAGAAACUAUCAUGAAGAUGUUGGGAUUUAACAUGAAAACAGCAGACAAGGAAAUUAUCACUCACCUAAGACUUGUUAUCCGAGCUUAUGAAGCAUCUAACAAAUCAAAGAUUGCUUCUGAUUGUGAGACUGGACAGAAUAACGCAUAAGAAAGUUCUGCCUUCUCAUUGCUGCCAACAAGAACUCAGCAGAUACAGACAUUUCCUUCAGCAUCUUGAGUGUG